RNAcentral lists this ribosomal RNA (492 nucleotides) under uncultured bacterium. RNAcentral's name for it is "partial 16S ribosomal RNA". It matches the Rfam family "Bacterial small subunit ribosomal RNA", at positions 29 to 507 of the family's 1533-position model. The record is from RNAcentral.
AGUGAACGCUGGCGGUAGGCCUAACACAUGCAAGUCGAACGGCAGCACAGCAAGAGCUUGCUCUUACGGGUGGCGAGUGGCGGACGGGUGAGGAAUACAUCGGAAUCUACUUUUUCGUGGGGGAUAACGUAGGGAAACUUACGCUAAUACCGCAUACGACCUACGGGUGAAAGCAGGGGAUCUUCGGACCUUGCGCGAUUGAAUGGGCCGAUGUCGGAUUAGCUAGUUGGCGGGGUAAAGGCCCACCAAGGCGACGAUCCGUAGCUGGUCUGAGAGGAUGAUCAGCCACACUGGAACUGAGACACGGUCCAGACUCCUACGGGAGGCAGCAGUGGGGAAUAUUGGACAAUGGGCGCAAGCCUGAUCCAGCCAUACCGCGUGGGUGAAGAAGGCCUUCGGGUUGUAAAGCCCUUUUGUUGGGAAAGAAAAGCAGCAGGUUAAUACCCCGCUGUUCUGACGGUACCCAAAGAAUAAGCACCGGCUAACUUCGUG